GACGAACGCUGGCGGCGUGCUUAACACAUGCAAGUCCAACGGAAAGGCCCUGCUUUUGUGGGGUGCUCGAGUGGCGAACGGGUGAGUAACACGUGAGUAACCUGCCCUUGACUUUGGGAUAACUUCAGGAAACUGGGGCUAAUACCGGAUAGGAGCUCCUGCUGCAUGGUGGGGGUUGGAAAGUUUCGGCGGUUGGGGAUGGACUCGCGGCUUAUCAGCUUGUUGGUGGGGUAGUGGCUUACCAAGGCUUUGACGGGUAGCCGGCCUGAGAGGGUGACCGGCCACAUUGGGACUGAGAUACGGCCCAGACUCCUACGGGAGGCAGCAGUGGGGAAUAUUGCGCAAUGGGCGGAAGCCUGAUGCAGCAACGCCGCGUGCGGGAUGACGGCCUUCGGGUUGUAAACCGCUUUCGCCUGUGACGAAGCGUGAGUGACGGUAAUGGGUAAAGAAGCACCGGCUAACUACGUG
RNAcentral lists this ribosomal RNA (468 nucleotides) under uncultured bacterium. RNAcentral describes it as "partial 16S ribosomal RNA". It matches the Rfam family "Bacterial small subunit ribosomal RNA", at positions 28 to 507 of the family's 1533-position model. The record is from RNAcentral.